Molecule: ribosomal RNA, 501 nt
Filed under: uncultured bacterium
Lineage: Bacteria
Description: partial 16S ribosomal RNA
Rfam family: Bacterial small subunit ribosomal RNA
Source: RNAcentral
AUUGAACGCUGGCGGCAGGCUUAACACAUGCAAGUCGAGCGGAGAGAGGUAGCUUGCUACUGAUCUUAGCGGCGGACGGGUGAGUAAUGCUUAGGAAUCUGCCUAUUAGUGGGGGACAACAUUUCGAAAGGAAUGCUAAUACCGCAUACGUCCUACGGGAGAAAGCAGGGGACCUUCGGACCUUGCGCUAAUAGAUGAGCCUAAGUCGGAUUAGCUAGUUGGUGGGGUAAAGGCCUACCAAGGCGACGAUCUGUAGCGGGGCUGAGAGGAGGAGCCGCCACACUGGGACUGGGACACGGCCCAGACUCCUACGGGGGGCAGCAGUGGGGAAUAUUGGACAAUGGGCGGAAGCCUGAUCUAGCCAUGCCGCGUGUGUGAAGAAGGCCUUAUGGUUGUAAAGCACUUUAAGCGAGGAGGAGGCUACUUUAGUUAAUACCUAGAGAUAGUGGACGUUACUCGCAGAAUAAGCACCGGCUAACUCUGUGCCAGCAGCCGCCGUAA